RNA transcript from Mus pahari (shrew mouse), 1803 nucleotides. It is a transcript of the gene named ubiquitin-conjugating enzyme E2 Q2 pseudogene, with no coding region annotated. NCBI's taxonomy places the organism in Eukaryota, Metazoa, Chordata, Mammalia, Rodentia, Muridae. The record is from RefSeq and is a predicted model, not a curated record. The transcript has 2 exons.
AGGAGCCCCAGGAUUCAAGAGGUCAUGCAGAGAAGCUGAGGCUUGGCACCUCGAAGAGAGCCUGUUGGUGAAAGUGUCGCCCAGCUUUCGCAGAAGAUUCCAGCAUUUCGGAGAUUCCAGUACCACGUGUGGGAUGACCACCAAGAACAGCAGUCGCUGCCACUAGAAGACAAGCUGUGUUGCAGUGAGCAGAGCCAGAGGAGGGUCUCAAGCCUCUUGGAUGAGCCCAGAUUGCAUCUUGCAGGGCCACUUCGCUUCCACACGUCUGGGAAGAACGGAGAGGAAGGAUGUUGUCAGGGCUUAAGGCUGAGCUGGAGUUCCUAGCGUCUACCUUCCACAAGGACCACGAGCAGCUGCGCAUCGUGAGCUGGCACCUGGAUGAGCUACAGUGUCAGUUCCUGGUGCCGGAGGCACCUGCGGGCAGCCCGCCCUCGCCACCGCUGCUCACCUUGCACUGCACCAUCCCCGAGUCCUACCCAUCUUCACCGGUGAUGUGGUUCGUGGACUCUGACGAUCCAGAUCUCACAUCGAUCCUGGAACGCCUAGAAGAUUCAAAGCCUGACAGUUCGCUUAGUCAGCAACUCAAGUGGCUGAUCUGUGAAUUCUGCAGCUUAUAUAACCUGCCUGAGCACCUGGAUGUGGAGAUGCUGGACCAGCCGGUCCCUGUCGCUCAGAAGGCCACCAUCAAAGAGGUGCCUUCAGAAGACGAAGAUGCAGCUUACGGACUGGAAGACUUGGAUCAUUAUGAGCUGAAAGAAGAAGAGACCAGUAGUGAGAAAACGUCAGAGAAUGAAGGGCUUGAGAAAGAGGAUUUGGUCAUAUUAGAGAGUAUCCAGAAAAACCUAUGGCAAGAGCAUUCGAGCGGUGCCAUGUCUGGCUCAGUGCGUGCUUCGAAUAGACUUAUGAAGGAACUCAGAGAGAUAUACAGAUCACAGAGUUACAAAUCGGGGACUUAUUCCGUGGAACUGAUAAACGACAGCUUGUAUGACUGGCACGUUAAACUGAGGAAGGUUGACCCUGAUAGUGCCUUGUACGGUGACCUUCAGCGCUUGAAAGAAAAAGAAGGCAUAGACUAUAUUUUGCUUAACUUCUCUUUCAAAGAUAACUUUCCGUUUGACCCUCCAUUUGUUCGCGUCGAGUUGCCUGUACUCUCUGACGGUUAUGUCUUGGAAGGGGGAGCGUUGUGCAUGGAACUGCUCACCAGACAGGGCUGGAGCAGCGCCUACUCCAUAGAAUCGGUCAUCUUGCAGAUCAAUGCCACCUUAGUCAAAGGCAAUGCUAGGGUGUGCUUUGGAGUAAAAAAGAAUCAAUAUAAUGAACAAAUGGCCAGACUGGUCUAUAACUCCGUGGUGCUGAAGCAUGAGAAGUCAGGCUGGUUCACUCCUCCGCAGAAAGAUGGGUAAAUGGUAGACUGCCAUGUAUUUGGUAUUUGUAACAGUAGUGAGAAAGUUAUUAGCUAAUUGGUGUUUUAGUGGAUAAUCUCUCAACUGACCACCAGUAGAAGUUCCAACCUUUUCAUUUUGCUUACUGUGAGGGUCUUGGGUUGAACUGUGAGCCUUAAUGUGGUUUUUCUUGAUAAAUCAUCCUAACUCCAUUUUCAGUCAUCUAUGUUCCUUGAUUAAGUGAAAUGUGUUAAGUAGGCCAGUCAGUUGUGACUUUAGAUAAUGCUAGUUUAUUAGGCUAUGGGGGUGGUGGGGGUGGUGAAGGGAGGGGAUAAUGAGUUUUUACAAACAUUUGUUCCAUUUAGUGCUAAUAAAAGUUUUACCAGUGUCCAAUACUGUCUUAGAAAAAAUAAAAAAAUAA